This 876-nucleotide ribosomal RNA is filed under the name Triticum aestivum (bread wheat). RNAcentral's name for it is "partial small subunit ribosomal RNA". The record is from RNAcentral. Lineage: Eukaryota; Viridiplantae; Streptophyta; Magnoliopsida; Poales; Poaceae.
AUGAAGGAUUUAGGAGUGGCUGAUGUCAUUCUGAACAUCAAGUUGUUGAGAGUUGAUGAUGGUGGGAUUACAUUGCUUCAAUCUCACUACGUGGAAAAGAUCUUGAGUCGCUUUGGCUAUAGUGACUGCAAGCCCUCUCCAACACCAUAUGAUGCUAGCGUGCUGCUUCGAAAGAAUCGAAGAAUUGCUAGAGAUCAAUUAAAGUAUUCUCAGAUUAUUGGCUCGCUUAUGUACUUAGCAAGUGCUACAAGACCUGACAUCUUUUUUGCUGUUAGCAAACUGAGUCAGUUUGUUUCAAAACCAGGAGAUGUGCAUUGGAAAGCUCUAGAGAGAGUUUUGCGUUAUUUGAAAGGCACUGCGAAUUAUGGAAUUCACUACACUGGGCAUCCAAAGGUGCUUGAAGGGUAUAGUGACUCAAACUGGAUCUCAGAUGCUGAUGAGAUAAAGGCCAUAAGCGGUUAUGUAUUCACUCAUGGAGGUGGCGCUGUUUCUUGGAAGUCUUGCAAGCAGACCAUCUUAACGAGGUCAACUAUGGAAGCAAAACUCACAGCACUAGAUACAGCUACGGUCGAAGCAAAUUGGCUUCGCCGACUCUUGAAUGACUUGCCGGUUGUUGAGAAACCUGUACCAGGUGUCCUUAUGAACUGCGACAAUCAAACUGUGAUCACGAAAGUGAGAAGCUCAAAGGAUAACAUGAAGUCAUCAAGACACGUUCAGAGAAGGUUAAAGUCUGUCAGAAAAAUGAAAAACUCCAGAGUUAUUGCAUUGGAUUAUGUGCAAACGUCCAAAAAUCUGGCAGAUCUUUUUACUAAGGGUCUAUCACGUAAUGUGAUAGAUAAUGCAUCAAGGGAGAUGGGUAUGAGACCCACAAUAUGA